CACGUAGGCACCAAGCGUUGUCCGGAUUUAUUGGGCGUAAAGAGCUCGUAGGCGGUUCAGUAAGUCGGGUGUGAAAACUCAGGGCUCAACCCUGAGCUGCCACCCGAUACUGCUGUGACUUGAGUCCGGUAGGGGAGUGGGGAAUUCCUGGUGUAGCGGUGAAAUGCGCAGAUAUCAGGAGGAACACCGGUGGCGAAGGCGCCACUCUGGGCCGAGACUGACGCUGAGGAGCGAAAGCGUGGGGAGCAAACAGG
This 254-nucleotide ribosomal RNA is filed under the name uncultured bacterium. Its description in RNAcentral is "partial 16S ribosomal RNA". It matches the Rfam family "Bacterial small subunit ribosomal RNA", at positions 524 to 776 of the family's 1533-position model. The record is from RNAcentral.